GAUGAACGCUGGCGGCGUGCCUAAUACAUGCAAGUCGAGCGAACAGACGAGGAUCUUGCUCCUCUUACGUUAGCGGCGGACGGGUGAUUAACACGUGGCUAACCUACCUAUAAGACUGGGAUAACUUCGGGAAACCGGAGCUAAUACCGGAUAAUAUAUUGAACCGCAUGGUUCAAUAGUGAAAGACGGUUUUGCUGUCACUUAUAGAUGGAUCCGCGCCGCAUUAGCUAGUUGGUAAGGUAACGGCUUACCAAGGCAACGAUGCGUAGCCGACCUGAGAGGGUGAUCGGCCACACUGGAACUGAGACACGGUCCAGACUCCUACGGGAGGCAGCAGUAGGGAAUCUUCCGCAAUGGGCGAAAGCCUGACGGAGCAACGCCGCGUGAGUGAUGAAGGUCUUCGGAUCGUAAAACUCUGUUAUUAGGGAAGAACAAAUGUGUAAGUAACUAUGGACGUCUUGACGGUACCUAAUCAGAAAGCCACGGCUAACUACGUG
RNAcentral lists this ribosomal RNA (497 nucleotides) under uncultured bacterium. RNAcentral's name for it is "partial 16S ribosomal RNA". It matches the Rfam family "Bacterial small subunit ribosomal RNA", at positions 28 to 507 of the family's 1533-position model. The record is from RNAcentral.